UAGGGAAUCUUCGGCAAUGGGGGGAACCCUGACCGAGCAACGCCGCGUGAGUGAAGAAGGUUUUCGGAUCGUAAAGCUCUGUUGUUAAGGAAGAACGAGUGUGAGAAUGGAAAGUUCAUGCUGUGACGGUACUUAACCAGAAAGGGACGGCUAACUACGUGCCAGCAGCCGCGGUAAUACGUAGGUCCCGAGCGUUGUCCGGAUUUAUUGGGCGUAAAGCGAGCGCAGGCGGUUAGAAAAGUCUGAAGUGAAAGGCAGUGGCUCAACCAUUGUAGGCUUUGGAAACUGUUUAACGUGAGUGCAGAAGGGGAGAGUGGAAUUCCAUGUGUAGCGGUGAAAUGCGUAGAUAUAUGGAGGAACACCGGUGGCGAAAGCGGCUCUCUGGUCUGUAACUGACGCUGAGGCUCGAAAGCGUGGGGAGCAAACAGG
Molecule: ribosomal RNA, 429 nt
Filed under: Bacteroidota bacterium
Lineage: Bacteria; Pseudomonadati; Bacteroidota
Description: Bacteroidetes bacterium partial 16S ribosomal RNA
Rfam family: Bacterial small subunit ribosomal RNA
Source: RNAcentral